This 696-nucleotide ribosomal RNA is filed under the name uncultured bacterium. Its description in RNAcentral is "bacterial SSU rRNA". It matches the Rfam family "Bacterial small subunit ribosomal RNA", at positions 152 to 836 of the family's 1533-position model. The record is from RNAcentral.
GGAAACGAAUGCUAAUACCGCAUAAAAACUUUAAACACAAGUUUUAAGUUUGAAAGAUGCAAUUGCAUCACUCAAAGAUGAUCCCGCGUUGUAUUAGCUAGUUGGUGAGGUAAAGGCUCACCAAGGCGAUGAUACAUAGCCGACCUGAGAGGGUGAUCGGCCACAUUGGGACUGAGACACGGCCCAAACUCCUACGGGAGGCAGCAGUAGGGAAUCUUCGGCAAUGGACGAAAGUCUGACCGAGCAACGCCGCGUGAGUGAAGAAGGUUUUCGGAUCGUAAAACUCUGUUGGUAGAGAAGAACGUUGGUGAGAGUGGAAAGCUCAUCAAGUGACGGUAACUACCCAGAAAGGGACGGCUAACUACGUGCCAGCAGCCGCGGUAAUACGUAGGUCCCGAGCGUUGUCCGGAUUUAUUGGGCGUAAAGCGAGCGCAGGUGGUUUAUUAAGUCUGGUGUAAAAGGCAGUGGCUCAACCAUUGUAUGCAUUGGAAACUGGUAGACUUGAGUGCAGGAGAGGAGAGUGGAAUUCCAUGUGUAGCGGUGAAAUGCGUAGAUAUAUGGAGGAACACCGGUGGCGAAAGCGGCUCUCUGGCCUGUAACUGACACUGAGGCUCGAAAGCGUGGGGAGCAAACAGGAUUAGAUACCCUGGUAGUCCACGCCGUAAACGAUGAGUGCUAGAUGUAGGGAGCUAUAAG